ACAUGAGGGGUUGGCGAUGCUGCAAACAUCAUAGGGUUGGUUAUGUGAAGGCAAGGUUCUUAAAAGCUGAGGCCUAGAGGUUGAGAUUUGUCUAGAGGCUAAUGGAUAAACCAAGCUACACUACUUAACACUAGAAUAUUUUAACACAGAGGCAUGAUUUUUUUAUAUUAGUCGGGUCGUUGGGGAGUAUUCUAUCUGGUAAGUCUUAAUUUUCGGGUCGAAAAUUUUUGAUGUAGGGGAGAAUGUAAGGAUUGAGAAUUUUUUUUUUUUAAGACGCGUGGCUGCAACUAAUAGGCUGAAACAUCAUUCCUUUUAAAAAAUGCUGAAACUUCAAAAAUUGAAGUUUCAUUCUUUCCUUCAGCAGAUGCAAGCAACGUGUUCUCCCCUCUAUUUUUCCCUUCCCUCCUUGAUUCCUCUUACAUCCUUGUUCUGAAAUCCUUUCACUGAAUUCAAUUGCUCCUCUUACCAGAAAACGUUUAGGCAACUGUGAGAUCGGAACAACAGCCCAUCGAACCAGUUUAGUUUCCUCUCCUGGUAAAAUUCUAGCAAACUCAUCUCGGCGUUUCAAGCACUAUAAAUUCCAUUGAGUUUGAGCUGUAACACCAUCAAGAAGUUGAUGAUGAGGUGCCUUUGGAGCAAGUGUUGGAGACUGAAGGAGACCCAGCUCCUACUUCUUAGAUUUCCUAUAGUCUUAUUUAGAUAACUCUCAUUUUGAAAGACUUCUAGCUUUUACUUCUCAUGAUCUGUAUUUUGGAAUUACUCUUUAGGCACCCUUAGACCUUUAGUUGUCUUGUAUUUUGGAGAACUCUCAAUCUUGUAUUUAAGUUUUAAAUUUCAACCAUAUUUUGGAUGAUUGUAUGCCUAAUACUGUCCUCUAUUAACUCUUAAUUGCUUUCUCGUACUAUAAUAGCUGAAUCCUAUUAUAUGUACGUCUAUAUAAUAUUUGGGAUGUUACAUUAUGGGACAUUGCCAUUUAUUAUUAAGCACG
Long non-coding RNA from Vigna radiata var. radiata (mung bean), 988 nucleotides. RefSeq lists it as uncharacterized. The record is from RefSeq and is a predicted model, not a curated record. NCBI's taxonomy places the organism in Eukaryota, Viridiplantae, Streptophyta, Magnoliopsida, Fabales, Fabaceae. The transcript is spliced from 3 exons.